UGGGGAAUUUUGGACAAUGGGGGAAACCCUGAUCCAGCCAUCCCGCGUGUGCGAUGAAGGCCUUCGGGUUGUAAAGCACUUUUGGCAGGAAAGAAACGUCAUGGGUUAAUACCCCGUGAAACUGACGGUACCUGCAGAAUAAGCACCGGCUAACUACGUGCCAGCAGCCGCGGUAAUACGUAGGGUGCAAGCGUUAAUCGGAAUUACUGGGCGUAAAGCGUGCGCAGGCGGUUCGGAAAGAAAGAUGUGAAAUCCCAGAGCUCAACUUUGGAACUGCAUUUUUAACUACCGGGCUAGGGUGUGUCGGAGGGAGGGGGAAUUCCGCGUGUAGCAGUAAAAUGCGUAGGUAUGCGGAGGAACACCGAUGGCGAAGGCAGCCUCCUGGGAUAACACUGACGCUCAUGCACGAAAGCGUGGGGAGCAAACAGG
RNAcentral lists this ribosomal RNA (429 nucleotides) under Acidobacteriota bacterium. Its description in RNAcentral is "Acidobacteria bacterium partial 16S ribosomal RNA". It matches the Rfam family "Bacterial small subunit ribosomal RNA", at positions 355 to 776 of the family's 1533-position model. The record is from RNAcentral. Lineage: Bacteria; Pseudomonadati; Acidobacteriota.